AAACCGCAUAGGGGUUAAACCCGAUGAACCUGAAUAUCUGAAAUGAGAAAUUCAAUACUAUUUUUAAAAGUGAUUUUUAUAAUUAUUUUUUUUUAAAUUGUAUGCACUUUUCUCAUAGUAAGACAUUGCAAUCUAUUAGUAUAUCUAAUAUUAUAUAGAUGGUUUAUUAAACGGCUCAUAUAAUUUGUUUAUUCUAUCUGUAAUAUUUUUGUUGAAAUGUUAUAUGAAUAAUAUUGUUGUGAUGACCUAAUAAACAGCUGAUAGAUUAUUUAAAAUGAUGCAAACAUAUUUAUUUAUGUGUUAUACAUUUAUGUAUAAUAGCAUGUAUUUGAUUAGCAAUGCGAUAGAUUUAGGAUACCUUCGGGACCCGUCUUGAAACACGGACCAAGAAGUCUAACAUGUGUGUAAGUCAUUGGGUAUUUUGUUGAAACCUAAAGACGUAAUUAAAAUAACUAUUUUAUUGGGAUUACAAAUAAUACUUAUGAUAUUAUUUCUCCAUCCCGGGGCGUUCCAUACGAACAUGAUUUAAGCAAUUGAGUCCUCUGUUCAGGAGCGUACCUUGAAUACACAUGCUGU
RNAcentral lists this ribosomal RNA (576 nucleotides) under Nepaletricha sp. DK-2014. RNAcentral describes it as "eukaryotic LSU rRNA". It matches the Rfam family "Eukaryotic large subunit ribosomal RNA", at positions 386 to 812 of the family's 3401-position model. Lineage: Eukaryota; Metazoa; Arthropoda; Insecta; Diptera; Rangomaramidae. The record is from RNAcentral.